RNAcentral lists this ribosomal RNA (253 nucleotides) under uncultured bacterium. RNAcentral describes it as "partial 16S ribosomal RNA". It matches the Rfam family "Bacterial small subunit ribosomal RNA", at positions 524 to 776 of the family's 1533-position model. The record is from RNAcentral.
UACGUAGGGUGCAAGCGUUAAUCGGAAUUACUGGGCGUAAAGCGUGCGCAGGCGGUUCGUUGUGUCGGUGGUGAAAGCCCCGGGCUUAACCUGGGAACGGCCAUGGAAACUGGCGAACUGGAGUGUGGCAGAGGGAUGCGGAAUUCCAGGUGUAGCGGUGAAAUGCGUAGAUAUCUGGAGGAACACCGGUGGCGAAGGCGGCAUCCUGGACCAACACUGACACUGAGGAGCGAAAGCCAGGGGAGCAAACGGG